Molecule: ribosomal RNA, 461 nt
Filed under: uncultured bacterium
Lineage: Bacteria
Description: partial 16S ribosomal RNA
Rfam family: Bacterial small subunit ribosomal RNA
Source: RNAcentral
CCUACGGGUGGCAGCAGUGAGGAAUAUUGGUCAAUGGGCGGGAGCCUGAACCAGCCAAGUCGCGUGAGGGAAGACGGUCCUACGGAUUGUAAACCUCUUUUGCCGGGGAGCAACGGGGUCCUUGCGAGGGCCCGCUGAGAGUACCCGGAGAAAAAGCAUCGGCUAACUCCGUGCCAGCAGCCGCGGUAAUACGGAGGAUGCGAGCGUUAUCCGGAUUUAUUGGGUUUAAAGGGUGCGGAGGCGGAUUGAUAAGUUAGAGGUGAAAUGUCCGAGCUUAACUCAGGAACUGCCUCUAAUACUGUUGAUCUAGAGAGUAGAUGCGGUAGGCGGAAUGUAUGGUGUAGCGGUGAAAUGCUUAGAGAUCAUACAGAACACCGAGUGCGAAGGCAGCGUACCAAUCUAUAUCUGACGUUGAGGCACGAAAGCGUGGGGAGCAAACAGGAUUAGAUACCCUUGUAGUC